This 207-nucleotide ribosomal RNA is filed under the name uncultured bacterium. RNAcentral describes it as "partial 16S ribosomal RNA". It matches the Rfam family "Bacterial small subunit ribosomal RNA", at positions 568 to 774 of the family's 1533-position model. The record is from RNAcentral.
UGCGUAGACGGUUAUGUAAGUUAGGUGUGAAAGCCCCGGGCUCAACCUGGGAAUUGCAUUUAAGACUGCAUAGCUAGGGUGCGGAAGAGGGAAGCGGAAUUUCCGGUGUAGCGGUGAAAUGCGUAGAUAUCGGAAGGAACAUCAGUGGCGAAAGCGGCUUCCUGGUCCAGCACCGACGUUCAGGCACGAAAGCGUGGGGAGCAAACA